RNAcentral lists this unclassified non-coding RNA (240 nucleotides) under uncultured fungus. Its description in RNAcentral is "sequence contains ITS1". The record is from RNAcentral. Lineage: Eukaryota; Fungi.
GUAUUAGAUGCGUUAGACGCGGUAUACAUUCUGAACUUUAUAGAGUGUGUGAAAACGUAGGACCAAAGUCCGGGGGGGUGAGAUUCGCCUUGCGGCUGCACUUUCCCCUCCUUCCUCUAGAACUACCGAAGGUGCACAGGUGUGAGAUGGACGAGAAAGAGGUGUGCACAUGCCCCGGAAGGCCAGCGACAACCUCGUUCGAACUCGUUAAUGAUCCUUCCGCAGGUUCACCUACGGAAA